ACAGAGGGUGCAAGCGUUAAUCGGAAUUACUGGGCGUAAAGCGUGCGUAGUCGGUUAUCUAAGUCGGAUGUGAAAUCCCCGGGCUCAACCUGGGAAUUGCACUCGAUACUGGAUAGCUAGAGUUCGGCAGAGGGAAGCGGAAUUUCGGGUGUAGCGGUGAAAUGCGUAGAUAUCCGAAGGAACAUCAGUGGCGAAAGCGGCUUCCUGGACCAGAACUGACGAUCAGGCACGAAAGCGUGGGGAGCAAACAGGAUUAGAUACCCUGGUAGUCCACGCCAUAAACGAUGACAACUAGACGUUGGGGACAUAUGGUCCACAGUGUCGCAGCUAACGCGUUAAGUUGUCCGCCUGGGGAGUACGGCCGCAAGGUUG
This 372-nucleotide ribosomal RNA is filed under the name uncultured bacterium. RNAcentral's name for it is "bacterial SSU rRNA". It matches the Rfam family "Bacterial small subunit ribosomal RNA", at positions 525 to 896 of the family's 1533-position model. The record is from RNAcentral.